This is an RNA transcript of Vitis riparia (riverbank grape), 1077 nucleotides long. RefSeq lists it as uncharacterized. Lineage: Eukaryota; Viridiplantae; Streptophyta; Magnoliopsida; Vitales; Vitaceae. The transcript has 9 exons. The record is from RefSeq and is a predicted model, not a curated record.
GAAUUUGGAUUUGAUAGCAGAAAGAUUGAAUUGUGGAGGAUAAAGCAGAGAGGUAGUCAUGCUGAUAGCUUCGGCUCUCGUGCCACUUCAAAGCUUGUGCUUUGCCACCUCUUCAAAGCAUUUUCCGUUGAACAUAUCUGUAGUUUCACAAAUUUCAACGUCUUCUCAUUCUUCAGCAAAGAAUGCUCAUCCCUUGAAGCUCCAGCACCCACCAAGAGCAUCUUCCGAAGGAAUUCCUACUGAGUUAAUUGAAGAUUCAAAGUUUGUUCCUUUGAAUUCUGACGAUCCUAUAUAUGGUCCACCUGCCUUAUUGCUCUUGGGCUUUGAAGUGGAGGAGGAAGUGAAGAUACGACAGCUUUUGAAAGAGUUGGAUGGUGAAUUCCUUCAGGUUAUUUAUUGCACUGAAGACAUGAUAACUCGUUCGCUUUGGGAAUCAAUGAACACAAAACAGUCAAAUUUGGAAGCACUGAAGAUUGCAAAAGCACUGCCACGAAUUUGCUUCUUAUCUGGUCUUAGCGGGGAGGAGACGAUGAUGUUUAUUGAUGCCUUUCCAGAAACUGGAUUAGAAGCAGCUGUAUUUGCAGCUCUUGUUCCCAACAGUGCUGAUAAACCCCUCCAAGAGUUGAUAGAAGAGAUUAUGGGAGAUCAUGAAAUGCUGUCUGGGAAACAAAUGGAUUAGACACUGGGAGCUGCAGACUAGAGGAUUUUCUUUGACGACUGAAGAAUCUAAUUUCAGCCCAUGCAAUGGAUUCACCCAAUGAAAACAUCUCCUAAAGUCCAUUGACUUAUGAUUCUGGAAAGGUCGGGAUCAAGCAACGACGACCUGUACGACUUCCACAACCUUUCCGCGUGAAGUGAAGCCUUUUACAAUUGUAAAGCUCUCGGUGCCUAACUUUCAAAGCUGUCUGAAAGUUUAACUCCCACCAACGGUGAACCCACUUGUGGGGGAGGUGUCAGGUUCAAACCCAUUAUUACUCAUCACUCAUAACAUUGAAAUGGUUGGUAUGGUCGAUGUGGGAUAUCCAUGACUCAUUGUUUUAGUCAAAUUUUAAUCAUCAUUCUCCUUUACUUAUCCUA